GUUUUUGUAGUUGAAGGACAACAAUGGUUUUUCAUGCCA
This 39-nucleotide transfer RNA is filed under the name Notamacropus eugenii (tammar wallaby). Its description in RNAcentral is "partial tRNA-Glu". Lineage: Eukaryota; Metazoa; Chordata; Mammalia; Diprotodontia; Macropodidae. The record is from RNAcentral.